Penaeus vannamei (Pacific white shrimp) is the source of this 204-nucleotide non-coding RNA. NCBI's taxonomy places the organism in Eukaryota, Metazoa, Arthropoda, Malacostraca, Decapoda, Penaeidae. The record is from RefSeq and is a predicted model, not a curated record.
UCCACUUCGGGCGCUCUCGAACCCCGUCAGACGCUGCACGAGUCGGGUUACGGACAUGAUUGGCUGUUUAUUGAAACCCUUAACCAGGCAUUCGUGGUCAUGUCAGCAUCCGAUGAAAACAACAGUUGUAGUCAACGCAGCACGGUCGUCUUCGAAAUGAUAGAUGGCCAGCUUGUCACUUACCAAGAGCUACACGCAGGACAG